GCUGAGGAUAUAUCUCAGUUGGUUGAGUGCUUACCUAGCAUGCACAAGGCCCUGGGUUCAAUCCCCAGCACAGCG
RNAcentral lists this transfer RNA (75 nucleotides) under Marmota monax (woodchuck). RNAcentral describes it as "tRNA.Ala". Lineage: Eukaryota; Metazoa; Chordata; Mammalia; Rodentia; Sciuridae. The record is from RNAcentral.